AUUGAACGCUGGCGGCAUGCUUUACACAUGCAAGUCGAACGGUAACAGGCCUUCGGGUGCUGACGAGUGGCGAACGGGUGAGUAAUGCAUCGGAACGUACCCAGGGGUGGGGGAUAACGCAGCGAAAGCUGUGCUAAUACCGCAUGUGAUCUGAGGAUGAAAGCGGGGGACCGAGCAGCAAUGUGUGGCCUCGCGCCUUUGGAGCGGCCGAUGUCGGAUUAGCUAGUUGGUGGGGUAAAGGCCUACCAAGGCGACGAUCCGUAGCUGGUCUGAGAGGACGACCAGCCACACUGGGACUGAGACACGGCCCAGACGCCUACGGGAGGCAGCAGUGGGGAAUUUUGGACAAUGGGCGCAAGCCUGAUCCAGCAAUGCCGCGUGCGGGAAGAAGGCCUUCGGGUUGUAAACCGCUUUUGGCAGGAACGAAACGGUGUCCGCUAAUACCGGGCGCUAAUGACGGUACCUGCAGAAUAAGCACCGGCUAACUACGUG
Molecule: ribosomal RNA, 492 nt
Filed under: uncultured bacterium
Lineage: Bacteria
Description: partial 16S ribosomal RNA
Rfam family: Bacterial small subunit ribosomal RNA
Source: RNAcentral